GUCCACGCUGUAAACGAUGAGUACUAGGUGUCGCGGGUAUUGACCCCUGCGGUGCCGCAGCUAACGCAUUAAGUACUCCGCCUGGGGACUACGGCCGCAAGGUUAAAACUCAAAGGAAUUGACGGGGGCCCCGCACAAGCGGUGGAGCAUGUGGUUCAAUUCGACGCAACGCGAAGAACCUUACCUGGACUAGACAACGGUGGACCGCCUCAGAGACGAGGCUUUCCCUUCGGGGACUGCCGGUUCAGGUGCUGCAUGGCUGUCGU
This 266-nucleotide ribosomal RNA is filed under the name uncultured bacterium. Its description in RNAcentral is "partial 16S ribosomal RNA". It matches the Rfam family "Bacterial small subunit ribosomal RNA", at positions 793 to 1055 of the family's 1533-position model. The record is from RNAcentral.